RNAcentral lists this long non-coding RNA (413 nucleotides) under Salmo salar (Atlantic salmon). RNAcentral's name for it is "lncRNA (ENSSSAG00000118482.1)". Lineage: Eukaryota; Metazoa; Chordata; Actinopteri; Salmoniformes; Salmonidae. The record is from RNAcentral.
GUCUUGGUGAUGCUCAUCUCCUCUCUAAGUGCUGUCAGCUACUUUUUCCUGCUCCUCCACCUCCUUCUCGCUGGCUGUCACUCUGGCCCCCAUUGGCGGACAGUUGAGCUGCUUGGGCUGUGUUCUCUGUCUUCAGCUCCACACUGGCCAUGUUCAUCAGCUCAGUCUUGGUGACACUCAGCUCCACUUUCUGCUCCACCACCAAUGGGUGACCUUACCUCAUACCAGGGAACAGGAAAGCUGUGCAGUCGGGCUCACAAAACAGGCUUGUGAGGAGAAUCCCUUUUGAGGAUUAUCUGAAGACAUGGACAAAGAUGGCCACCACUAAAGCUGGCUCGUGGAUGAGGAAGGAAUGUAUGUCUUUCUAUCUAAAUACAGGCACUCCUCAUGACCUUGGAAUGUACAUUAGGAGU